Molecule: long non-coding RNA, 1452 nt
Organism: Homo sapiens (human)
Lineage: Eukaryota; Metazoa; Chordata; Mammalia; Primates; Hominidae
Gene: JPX
Product: JPX transcript, XIST activator
Source: Ensembl
UGGAAGACUUAAGAUGGCGGCGUUUGCACGGAGUGCAAUCACUGCGUCCUUACGGGGGUUGCAAGGCGUCCGAAGUAUGAGUCCACUAACAAAAGUCCAGAAACUCGCCAGUUAAUAGUAUUGUGUCUCUUCAAAAUAUCGGAGAAUAAUUUCUUUCUCGCUGAUCGCCUAACUUCUACUGACGAAGCUUGGAAGUUGCAGAAGGCUGGAGUGCAGUGGCGCAAUCUCGGCUCUCUGCAACCUUCACCUCCCGUGUUCAAGUGAUUCUCCUGCCUCAGCCUCCUGAAUACCUGAGAUUACAAGCAUGCACCACCACGCCCGUCUAAUUUUGUAUUUUCACUAGAGACGGGGUUUCUCCAUGUUGGUCAGGCUGGUCUCGAACUCCCGACCUCAGGUGAUCCGCCCGCCUCAGCCUCCCAAAGUGCUGGGAUUACAGGCAUGAGCCACCGCGUCCAGCAAGAAUAGGUGAUUUUCAAACUUGGAAACAUUCAGAAGUUAUCGCCUCAGUUUCAGAUUGAGUAGUCUCAAAGAGAUUACAGACAUCUACCACAAAUUCUCUACUUGGUGUGGUGCAAAAUCAGUAUGAUGUAAACUUUGUCUCUCAGUUUCUUCAAAGGAAAGAAGCAACUGGAACACACAUAUAACACUAACCCUUCCAGCUGCAUUAUGAGGGACCAGUACCUGUCUCAAGGCAAAAUUAUGACUUAGUUCAUCCUCACCUCUGGAGGCCAGUAAAAGUGGGUUAUAGAAGAACAAAGAGGCAUCUAGAUCUUUCACUGGGUUAUUUGGAGAGAAACAUCUCCUACCGAAGGCCAGUUUAACAAGACUGGUAGAGGAGGUUAUCUUAUCUAAUUCACAGAAAUCAACACAUUGAGUCAAGAAAAAUGAAACACAGAAACACUCUAAAUAAAAGAAGAUAAGUCUUCAGAAACCAACCCUAAUGAAAUGAAGAUAUGUGAUUAACCUGACAGGAAAUUAAAAAGAGCAACCAUAAAGAGUCUCAUGGGAGCAAUGCAUGAACAAACUGAGAAUUUUCAUAAAGAAAUAAAAGAUAACAAAAAGUAUAAAGUUGAAGAAUACAAUAACUGGACUCAAAAAUUUAAUGUGUCCAACAGAAGAAUCGAUGAAGCAGAAGAAAGGGCUAUCAAACUUGUAGAUAGGCCAUUGGAAAUCAUGUAAUGUGAGGAGAAAAAAGAAAAAAGAUUGAAGAUAGUUUAAGAGACUUUUGAGACAUCCUCAAAGGGGAAUAAUUUAUACAUUACCAGAUGGAGAAGAUAGAGGGAAAAGGACAGAAAACAUAUUUGAAGAAAUAAUGUCAGAAAACCUCAUAAUUCUGGCAAGGAAAUAGAAAUUUAGAUCUAAGAAUCUCGAACAUCAGGUAUGAUGAAUCCAAGGAGACUCACACCAAACCAUAUUGUAAUUAAAUAAAGGUUAAAGACAAUCUUCAGAGCA